AAAGGGAGACCUAAUUCAGGUAGGAGACGAAAAAAAAGUAGUCGCUACCAAGAAUCAAUCCCAAAAGGUCGGAGCGAGGCGAAAUUGGCUUUCAAACUAGGUUCUGGGUUCACACAAGACCUGAAUCAGGAACAAGGGCUAUUAGCUCAGGUGGUUAGAGCGCACCCCUGAUAAGGGUGAGGUCCCUGGUUCGAGUCCAGGAUGGCCCACCUGCACAGGUGGCAAAAAAAGAGAAGCGAGGAAUCAGCACCUUAUCUUACUGACAUAGUAAGAGAGAAUGCUGGCUCUGAGUAAAGAGUCCAGAGGAACCUUGAAAACUGCAUAGAGCUAGGUGAAAAAGCCAAAAAAGAAGACCGCAUG
RNAcentral lists this transfer RNA (360 nucleotides) under uncultured Microcystis sp. RNAcentral's name for it is "partial 16S-23S ribosomal RNA intergenic spacer". The stretch from base 136 to 209 matches the Rfam family "tRNA". Lineage: Bacteria; Bacillati; Cyanobacteriota; Cyanophyceae; Chroococcales; Microcystaceae. The record is from RNAcentral.